RNAcentral lists this long non-coding RNA (882 nucleotides) under Marmota monax (woodchuck). Lineage: Eukaryota; Metazoa; Chordata; Mammalia; Rodentia; Sciuridae. The record is from RNAcentral.
GCUUAAAGGACAAACUUAAGAAAAAACUCCCAGAAUCUCUUUAUUUUCUUUUAGAACAGAGAGAUAAAAGUUUGGAGGAAAAGAGGGGAGACAUCAAAGAUAGAUAUAUGGCAACUGUUUGGGUGAGCUUCUUUCUUCGCUGUGACCAUAAGACCUGACGGGAGCAAUUUUAGAAGAGGAAAAGUUUAUUUGGGGCUCACGGUUUGAGAGGUCUCGGUCCACAGAUGGCCGACUCUGUAGCUCUGUGUCCGAGGUGAGGCCGAACAUCUUCUUAAGAAGGGAGAGACAAGAAAAGAAAUGUAGGACAAUCAGAAAACAGAGACAAAGCUCUGCUCAGUAAGGACAAAAUAUAAGCCCCAGAAGGGAUGGCCUCAGCAACCCACACCUCACCUGCCUACAGUUACCACCCAGCUAAUCCCUAUCUGUGGAUCAAUGCACUGAUUGGGUUAAGGCUCUCCUAAGCCAAUCCUUCACCUUUGAACUCUCUUGCAUUGUCUCACGUGAGCUUUGGGGGGACACCUCGUAUCUGAGCCAUAACAACCACCAAAACCAAAGGAUGGAACCCAAAAGCCAAAAUUGUAGCCUUCAGCAGUUGGGCACAGAGUUUAGGAGAACAGACUUCAACACUAGAGAUACCCAGGCUCAACUCUGAGCUGUGGCCCUUUGAACUGUGUGAACUCGGACAACUUGACCUUUCUUUUUCGGGUUCUUGGAUUUUUCUGGAAUGGGUUGGGUUGACUCGUGAGGAUAGUUAGGAAACCAUGUGAAGUAAUGUUUGUAAAAUAAGACUCGUGAGGUUUGAACACAAAUGCUCAAUAAAUGUCACCUGUGAUCGGCUAAAUGGUGUCCCCUAAAAAUCCCUAUGUGGAAACCCUCACGCUC